GAUGAAGAACGCAGCGAGAUGCGAUAAGUAAUGUGAAUUGCAGAAUUCAGUGAAUCAUCGAAUCUUUGAACGCACAUUGCGCCCGCCAGUAUUCUGGCGGGCAUGCCUGUCUGAGCGUCAUUUCAACCCUCAUGCCCCUAGGGCGUGGUGUUGGGGAUCGGCCAAAGCCCGCGAGGGACGGCCGGCCCCUAAAUCUAGUGGCGGACCCGUCGUGGCCUCCUCUGCGAAGUAGUGAUAUUCCGCAUCGGAGAGCGAUGAGCCCCUGCCGUUAAACCCCCAACUUUCCAAGGUUGACCUCAGAUCAGGUAGGAAUACCCGCUGAACUUAAGCAUAUCAAUAAGCGGAGGA
Molecule: unclassified non-coding RNA, 348 nt
Filed under: soil metagenome
Description: partial contains 5.8S ribosomal RNA, internal transcribed spacer 2, and large subunit ribosomal RNA
Rfam family: 5.8S ribosomal RNA (bases 1-120)
Source: RNAcentral